This 73-nucleotide transfer RNA is filed under the name Acidimicrobiia bacterium. RNAcentral describes it as "tRNA-Pro". It matches the Rfam family "tRNA". Rfam says of the family: Transfer RNA (tRNA) molecules are approximately 80 nucleotides in length. Lineage: Bacteria; Bacillati; Actinomycetota; Acidimicrobiia. The record is from RNAcentral.
GGGACGUAGCGCAGCUUGGUAGCGCGCAGCGUUCGGGACGCUGAGGUCGUGGGUUCGAAUCCCGCCCUCCCCA